Non-coding RNA from Aedes albopictus (Asian tiger mosquito), 77 nucleotides. The record is from Rfam. NCBI's taxonomy places the organism in Eukaryota, Metazoa, Arthropoda, Insecta, Diptera, Culicidae.
UGUUCUGUGGCGAAGUUGGUUAACGCGCCCUGUCUAGCGAUCUUGGGGAGACGUGGGUUCAAAUCGCACCAGAACUC